CAUUACUAAGUCACAAUGGUUGAUCCCUGACGAAAUGUUACCAAGCCAAAUAGGUUCGUCAGGAUUCUCUGUGUUUCAUCAAACGGGUCACAAAAGAUUUGUUAUGCCAGUAAUGUCUAUCGGCAAAGGAAUACAAGAGGCACUUCUGUUCAAGACCCCACACCUUCCAUUUUUAAAAAGAAGCAUCCAUUUGUUGAAGAUCCAAUUAAUGGCCCGCGAAAUGUUUCUCUUAUUCAACAAUACCGGAAUUGGCUCGAACAGGAUCUGCUUCUAAGGCAUGAUAAAAAAAAGGGUAAGGAAAGCCGUUACAAAAAGAAUAAGCAAGCUUUGGAUCCGUAUGAUAUCAACUUUGGCUUCAAUUUUGGUGUGUACAUGUUGAUGACAAAAACUGGUUCUAUCUCUUAUCGAUGAAUGGCUAGUCUUGGAAUGAUGAGGUGCUAUAUUUCCCAUUUCUUUUUUAUUCCUUAAUUUUACAAUUGUCUAUCUAUCUGUUUUUUAAAGUAUAUUUCUCUAUAUUCCUUCUAUGUAUUUCUCUGUAUUUCCUCGUAUUUCUAUAUAUUUCUUCAUUCAAACAGCAUAUUUCUCUGUAACAGUUUUUAGUUUUUCUAUCACACAAUUUCCUUAUGAAAUUUAAUUUACCAAUAUGCAUUAAUCUUAUUUCAUUUUUUUUUACCAGCAUAUUGAUGUCAUUUUUUACUACUUGCGGAAGAAAGGCAAGUACGACAAGGAUAAUGGGGCUUCAAAUUCACAACCGUUAACUGUAUGUUCUUCUCCAAAAUUGACGAAAUUCA
This is a long non-coding RNA of Lycium ferocissimum, 791 nucleotides long. RefSeq lists it as uncharacterized. The transcript has 3 exons. The record is from RefSeq and is a predicted model, not a curated record. NCBI's taxonomy places the organism in Eukaryota, Viridiplantae, Streptophyta, Magnoliopsida, Solanales, Solanaceae.